AGAUAACGGCAAUCACCUUGGAGAGUGGUUACUGGCGUUCAACAUUCAUUCAACUAAAAGAUGGAAAGUUUCCUUUUGAGAGGAGAAAAAAAUGGUGAAAAGAAAAUUCUAGCAAAUAAAAAAUGAUUUGCAAGGCUUCUCCUGUACUUGCUAAGCUGGAGUGCAAUGGAGUGAUCUCAGCUCACUGCAACCUCUGCCUCCUGAGUUCAAGCGAUUCUCCUGCAUCAGCCUCCCGAGUAUCUGGGAUUACAG
Homo sapiens (human) is the source of this 252-nucleotide long non-coding RNA. RefSeq lists it as uncharacterized. The transcript is spliced from 3 exons. Lineage: Eukaryota; Metazoa; Chordata; Mammalia; Primates; Hominidae. The record is from RefSeq and is a predicted model, not a curated record.